CCUACGGGAGGCAGCAGUGGGGAAUCUUGCGCAAUGGGCGAAAGCCUGACGCAGCCAUGCCGCGUGAAUGGUGAAGGUCUUAGGAUUGUAAAAUUCUUUCACCGGGGACGAUAAUGACGGUACCCGGAGAAGAAGCCCCGGCUAACUUCGUGCCAGCAGCCGCGGUAAUACGAAGGGGGCUAGCGUUGCUCGGAAUUACUGGGCGUAAAGGGAGCGUAGGCGGACAUUUAAGUCAGGGGUGAAAUCCCAGAGCUCAACUCUGGAACUGCCUUUGAUACUGGGUGUCUUGAGUGUGAUAGAGGUAUGUGGAACUCCGAGUGUAGAGGUGAAAUUCGUAGAUAUUCGGAAGAACACCAGUGGCGAAGGCGACAUACUGGAUCAUUACUGACGCUGAGGCUCGAAAGCGUGGGGAGCAAACAGGAUUAGAUACCCUGGUAGUCCACGCCGUAAACGAUGAUUGCUAGUUGUUGGGAUGUUUACAUCUCGGUGACGCAGCUAACGCAUUAAGCAAUCCGCCUGGGGAGUACGGUCGCAAGAUUAAAACUCAAAGGAAAUUGACGGCUGAGAGNGCGAGACGACACGAGGAGGAGG
This 591-nucleotide ribosomal RNA is filed under the name uncultured bacterium. RNAcentral's name for it is "bacterial SSU rRNA". It matches the Rfam family "Bacterial small subunit ribosomal RNA", at positions 338 to 944 of the family's 1533-position model. The record is from RNAcentral.